This 403-nucleotide ribosomal RNA is filed under the name uncultured prokaryote. Its description in RNAcentral is "bacterial SSU rRNA". It matches the Rfam family "Bacterial small subunit ribosomal RNA", at positions 355 to 774 of the family's 1533-position model. The record is from RNAcentral.
UGGGGAAUAUUGGACAAUGGGGGCAACCCUGAUCCAGCCAUGCCGCGUGAAUGAUGAAGGCCUUCGGGUUGUAAAGUUCUUUUGGUGGGGACGAUGAUGACGGUACCCACAGAAUAAGCUCCGGCUAACUUCGUGCCAGCAGCCGCGGUAAUACGAAGGGAGCUAGCGUUGUUCGGAAUUACUGGGCGUAAAGGGCGCGUAGGCGGUCCGAUCAGUCAGGUGUGAAAGCCCUGGGCUCAACCCGGGAAUUGCGCUUGAUACAGUCGGACUUCGAAUUCGGGAGAGGUUGGUAGAAUUCCCAGUGUAGAGGUGAAAUUCGUAGAGAUUGGGAAGAAUACCCGUGGCGAAGGCGGCCAACUGGACCGACAUUGACGCUGAGGCGCGAAAGCGUGGGGAGCAAACA